Molecule: ribosomal RNA, 253 nt
Filed under: uncultured bacterium
Lineage: Bacteria
Description: partial 16S ribosomal RNA
Rfam family: Bacterial small subunit ribosomal RNA
Source: RNAcentral
UACGAAGGGAGCGAGCGUUGUUCGGAAUCACUGGGCGUAAAGCGCACGUAGGCGGAUGGGUCAGUCAGGGGUGAAAUCCCGGAGCUCAACUUCGGAACUGCCUUUGAUACAGCACAUCUGGAGUCCGGAAGAGGUGGGUGGAAUUCCUAGUGUAGAGGUGAAAUUCGUAGAUAUUCGCAAGAACACCAGUGGCGAAGGCGGCUCACUGGCUCGGUACUGACGCUCAGGGGCGAAAGCGUGGGGAGCGAACCGG